This is a long non-coding RNA of Eurytemora carolleeae, 1926 nucleotides long. RefSeq lists it as uncharacterized. The transcript is spliced from 4 exons. NCBI's taxonomy places the organism in Eukaryota, Metazoa, Arthropoda, Copepoda, Calanoida, Temoridae. The record is from RefSeq and is a predicted model, not a curated record.
AACUACGAAUGUUUAUGUACUUCUAGUUGUUCUGUAAGUUUCUGUACAUGAACUACGACUUCGCUAUACAGGAAUACGACAGGAAGAAGGAUCCAGCAAAACAAAUGGAAGAUUCAUGACACAAUACUAGAACUGGAGGAUUAAUGAAGAGAAUCCGUGAUAUUUUCCUCCCUGGCUGACUACGUGUCCGUCCAACCACUUCUCCUACAACAUUCAUCUAGAGUACUGAAGAUUACUGCAGAACACACCGAAAGCUAAAUUGAGGGUGACGUGAGUAUAAUGUUUUAUAGAAAAUGAAGUUGUAUUUUUUCUAGCAAAACAUUUUCAUUCGCUUUCCAAUAUAUUCAUAAAUUCUCAUAAUCUUUACUUCCUUGCCAACAUUUCUGGGAAAUAAACAUCCCUGUGUCCGAAUUUAAUGAAUUUAAGCCGCGUAUCAAAUAUCCCAAAAACCGGUUACAAUUGAGCGCGGGCUUAAAUCUUGAAAUAUCUAAUACAAUUUCAAGUGGAACCAAUCAUAUUUGAGCCGCGGCUUAAAUUUAAACCGCGGCUCAAAUUCUUUAAAUUCGGCCUCUGGUUAUAAUUUUGUUAAUUAAUUUCCUCUUGUGGGUUGUGAUUAGUCAAUUGUCUUUCUGUUCCAAUAUGUACACUGUACACUAUAGACUGUAUGCUGUUGUACAUAGUGAGCUGUACCGUUAUUUUUUAUAAAAAAAAAUUUCCAAUAUUUUAAGUUUGACACCUUUACAUACAAACCAAUAUUAAAAUUGUGAAAUUUUGUUUCUUUUCGUAAUUUGUUCUUUUGAGACAUGAGCCGGCUUUAGAAAUAAAAAGUUAUAAUUUAAAAAUUACUAAUGUAAAGUUUAAAACUUUAUUGAAUAACAAGGAGGACGACUUUAAAUAAAAUUAAACUUUUUUUUCGGACACAGUUAUCCUGUCGUUUUAAGUGUCUGUUAAACCUAUUUUAAAUACACUUAAGUAUUUCUAUAAAGUCGUUUUCCUAUUUCAGAGUUUUCUGGUUAUAUAGGAUCAUGAAAAAUGUUCACAAUUGUAAAUGAAAGUUUUAAACAAACAAAGUUAUGCCAUUACAUUAAUUUUCUUUGGUUUUAAUUGCAAACUCCGUGAAACAAUUGUUGCGAAAGCUCAUUUUUGUAAUCAUUGUCUAAGCCCAAACGUUUGCAUGUACAGGGUGUCCCAACAUACAUGGGAAUUAAGAGACGAAUACACAAUCGUCUUUGUUAAAAAUUAGCGUUGUAAUGCCUAAUUUUCAUUUUAUGUAUAGGGUAAAGGACUGUUUUGUAAUUCUGAAGUACUACAGGAUGCUGUAUGCAGGCAAAACAUUAAAAAAAUCAAAAUUCUAUACUCUAGCCGACUAAUACAGCUUUUCUAUGUAGGGAUCACAAUUGCACACUAAAUCAAAAAAAAUAUUUACAAAAUUUUCACUUAAUUCCCAUGUUUAUUAGGACACCCUGUAUCAAAUUAUGUGAAACCAUAUUGGAAUCAUGUAAAUUACAUUUUUUAGAAUGAUGCCUUUACAAAAACUGCUACCCCUGCGCUUUAAACAGAAUUAUUCAAUCCCUUUGUAACAGAGUUUCCAUUUUUUCCGAAUAAAUUUGCCUCCUUGAAGGUCUUACGGAACUUUUCCUAAAACUGUUACUCAAACUUUUGAGAAAUAUAGGUUUACGGAUAUUUCGGGAAAAUUUUACAGUUAACGUAGUUCAGCAUGACUCAGCUUCUUCUGUAAAGUGUGUUAGGGUAAAGUAUUCCGUAGUUUUCAAAAGUUUUUAAAUAGCUUCAAACAAAUUUCGUAACAAUAUUUCGUCACGGAUUUGUUCCGGAAAAGAUGAGAAACCCUAUUCUAUAAAGUAUAAAAAUCUCAACAUAUUUAUAUUAUAACAGCACCUGUAAAAUAGAAAAACACUUUUCUUCAUA